UACGUAGGGUGCAAGCGUUGUCCGGAAUUAUUGGGCGUAAAGAGCUCGUAGGCGGUCUGUCGCGUCGGCUGUGAAAACCCGCGGCUCAACUGCGGGCCUGCAGCCGAUACGGGCAGGCUAGAGUUCGGUAGGGGAGACUGGAAUUCCUGGUGUAGCGGUGAAAUGCGCAGAUAUCAGGAGGAACACCGGUGGCGAAGGCGGGUCUCUGGGCCGAUACUGACGCUGAGACGCGAAAGCGUGGGGAGCGAACAGG
RNAcentral lists this ribosomal RNA (253 nucleotides) under uncultured bacterium. RNAcentral describes it as "partial 16S ribosomal RNA". It matches the Rfam family "Bacterial small subunit ribosomal RNA", at positions 524 to 776 of the family's 1533-position model. The record is from RNAcentral.